Molecule: long non-coding RNA, 2673 nt
Filed under: Brassica napus (rape)
Lineage: Eukaryota; Viridiplantae; Streptophyta; Magnoliopsida; Brassicales; Brassicaceae
Description: long non-coding RNA (BNAP_LNC004970)
Source: RNAcentral
AUCGUUCUGUAAGUUUUACCUUCUCUUGGAAACAUUAGUCCAAUCAAGAACACGAAACCAGUUGAGUUUAUGUUGCUGGACUCAAUGGUUAACGCAAUUAUUAGAAUAAGGAUGAAAAAAGCGAGCGUUUCAGCUUUGGAGAGGUACUUCUCUUUAGGGUUUCUUUUGGGGAGCCAUGAAGCUAAGAAUCUAUUGAUGAAAAUUAUAACAACCGUGGCAAAUGUGUAGGCAAAGAUGUCUCCUGUCAUUUUCCCGGAGAUGUAAGCAAUGACCAUAGUGUAGAUGAAAAUGUUGGUCAUCUCGAUGAACAAUCCGCAGGAUAUCGCUAGCCUUCCGAUCUCAGAUGUGUGGAGUUUCCAGUCAAUGAUUGAGCGGAUGACCACAGCCCACCACAAACAGUGAAUACAUCUCUCCUAUCUCUCUCAGAAUCGUCAGUGUUUGCUCUCCGUUGCUUACUCGCUUCUCUAUGAAUCCAACUUGCCCCGUCGUUACAAAUCUGCCAAAAAUAAACCAAAACCAGUUCGGUCAAUGAAAAAAAUGCCAAUGUUUCAGGUCUAGAAAUUAUCCACAACCCUAGUACUAAAGAUCUGAAAUUUAUGAGGGCGAUAAACAUUAUUAGGUUAAUUGUAACAAAAAAUAUUUAUAAUUUUUGGGCCAUGCAACAAAUACAUAAUAUUUCCUUAAAAUUUGGAUUGUAAGAUUAAUGUUUCAUCCGAUUGUGCUCAAAACCUUUCAUGAACUGGCUAAAGCUGGAAACAUAGGAUUAGUAAGAAGUAGAAUCUUGUAAAUUACCUGUUAUAGUAUUCCUCUAAGAAACUUCGAUCAGUUUCGUCGUUUGUCUGAUCGUUACCAACAAUCUCCAUUAAAACAUCGUUGUUUUCUUUGGUCACCGCGUCUCCGACAAGAUUCUCUGUCUCUGAGCCAUCCGCGACAAACUGUAUGAUAGUGAGGUGAAUUUGAGAGUUAUUGAUAAGCCACUGGCACAAGGACAGAGCCUCACGAUCAUCAGGACCACCAAAGAACAAUGCAGCGACGUGUUGCACCGACUCAAACCCGUGAAGCUGGCGAAACCCUGUUAUGUUUCUAUCCACAAAGAUACCGAUCGAACACUGUGCUUGCUUUAGCACCUUCCGGUUCAUAUCCCGAAAAGCUUCCCCGUCGUUUGUAGUUUUCCCAUCGAUCCUCUGGUGUUUAUGGAACGGAAGAAACACGAUGGAGACGCGAAGAUCUUCGCUCCCGUUACAGAUCUCUUCGUGCAUGUUCUGCAUCAGCGCUACUCGUUUCACUUGCCGGAUCAUGACCUUUCUGUCUCUAGUGAAUGAAUCAAUCGAGUCAUUGAUCUCUAGUCCUUCGUUGGUUCCAAACUCAUCGUCUCCUCCAGUGGAGUUCACUCCAUCUACGUCUAGUUCGUGGUACAGUAGUUCAGUUUUUCGCUUCUUGGAGAGGGGUAUGAGGUGCAUGAGAUAAGGUGUGAAAGGUGAAGAAGAAGCUCCAUUUAGAGCAGAGAUUAGAGAGAUUAGUCCACGAGCUUGACGUACACCGUAGACGCAAGUCAGCACACGUAGCUCCUCUUUGGUAUCGUGGAACUCAAGCGAUGUUUUUCGGUGUGAGAAACCCUUUUCUUGCGUUCUAAGUAAUAAAGAAGAUAUUACUCCGCUUAACAAAGUCGUGAUCACCAGUGUCGCAAUGAGCAUAUCAUGAAUUAUCGGAGUAAACCAUUUCUACAAAGAGAGAAAAAAAUAAUCAGAAAACAAAGAGAAGAUUAUUAUCUGACUUGUUACUAUUAUAAUGUAAAAAAAAAACUAUUUAAAAAAAAACUAUAAUGUAUCAAAUCUCAUAAAUAACACCUUUUUAAAAAAUAACACUAAUUACUUUUGUCAUAAAAAUAGCAAUCAAAGAGAAAAAAUCCUAAAAUAUUAAUAUUUAUUAAUUAAUAAAACACUAAAAUAUCUUAUGUUGUGAAUUCUAAUAAGAAUCUCACAUUCUAAAUACUAAACCCUAACCUAUAAUCAAAAACUCAAAUUAAAACAUAAAAAUGUCUUGUUAAUUUUAAAUUAAUGCUAUUUUGGUAAUUUUCUCCUUUGUAAACUAGUUUUUGAACAAAAAACUUGAUUACUGAUAUUUAAAGAUAUUAUCUCUAAAAUGUAGUUACCUUGUAGGUCAAGUUUGAGUCGAGGAGGACCAGACCAAUAUGACCUUUUACUGAGAGAAUCGUAGACAAGAAAAGCCAAUACUUCUUUGGGAUCUUAAGGAAUAAACAUGCACAUAAGACUCCUAGAAGCUUCGCUACCAUGCUUAAAGCCACUAUCGUACAGAGGACUAGGUAAUGACGUUUGGUUAGAGAGUGGACGCUGAAUCUAAACCCGAUGUAACCAAAGUAAACCGGAAGAACAAACUCGUGAAUCGGGUAACUCAGCCGGUUGAUCAUCGUUCUGUAAGUUUUACCUUCUCUUGGAAACAUUAGUCCAAUCAAGAACACGAAACCAGUUGAGUUUAUGUUGCUGGACUCAAUGGUUAACGCAAUUAUUAGAAUAAGGAUGAAAAAAGCGAGCGUUUCAGCUUUGGAGAGGUACUUCUCUUUAGGGUUUCUUUUGGGGAGCCAUGAAGCUAAGAAUCUAUUGAUGAAAAUUAUAACAACCGUGGCAAAUGUGUAGGCAAAGAUGUCUCCUGUCA